UACGUAGGUGGCAAGCGUUGUCCGGAAUUACUGGGUGUAAAGGGAGCGCAGGCGGGAAGCCAAGUCAGCUGUGAAAACUACGGGCUUAACUUGUAGACUGCAGUUGAAACUGGUUUUCUUGAGUGAAGUAGAGGUUGGCGGAAUUCCGAGUGUAGCGGUGAAAUGCGUAGAUAUUCGGAGGAACACCGGUGGCGAAGGCGGCCAACUGGGCUUUAACUGACGCUGAGGCUCGAAAGCGUGGGGAGCGAACAGG
Molecule: ribosomal RNA, 253 nt
Filed under: uncultured bacterium
Lineage: Bacteria
Description: partial 16S ribosomal RNA
Rfam family: Bacterial small subunit ribosomal RNA
Source: RNAcentral